RNAcentral lists this ribosomal RNA (442 nucleotides) under uncultured bacterium. Its description in RNAcentral is "partial 16S ribosomal RNA". It matches the Rfam family "Bacterial small subunit ribosomal RNA", at positions 338 to 795 of the family's 1533-position model. The record is from RNAcentral.
CCUACGGGAGGCAGCAGUAGGGAAUCUUUCACAAUGGGCGAAAGCCUGAUGGAGCAACGCCGCGUGCAGGAUGAAGGCCUUCUGGUUGUAAACUGCUUUUAUAAGCGAGAAAUAUGAUGGUAACUUAUGAAUAAGGAUCGGCUAACUACGUGCCAGCAGCCGCGGUCAUACGUAGGAUCCGAGCAUUAUCCGGAGUUACUGGGUGUAAAGAGGUGCGUAGGUGGCAUAAUAAGUAGCUAGUGAAAUCUGGUGGCUCAAACAUUCAGACUAUUAGCUAAACUGUUAAGCUCGAGACCGUUAGGGGGAACUGGAAUUUGUAGUGUAGGAGUGAAAUCCGUAGAUAUUAGAAGGAACACCAAUAGCGUAGGCAGGUUACUGGGACGGUUCUGACACUAAGGCACGAAAGCGUAGGGAGCAAACGGGAUUAGAUACCCCGGUAGUC